RNAcentral lists this ribosomal RNA (445 nucleotides) under uncultured bacterium. Its description in RNAcentral is "partial 16S ribosomal RNA". It matches the Rfam family "Bacterial small subunit ribosomal RNA", at positions 354 to 796 of the family's 1533-position model. The record is from RNAcentral.
GUAAGGAAUAUUGGACAAUGGACGCAAGUCUGAUCCAGCCAUGCCGCGUGAAGGAUUAAGGUCCUCUGGAUUGUAAACUUCUUUUAUAAGGGACGAAAAAAGGCUUUUCUAAGUCGUCUGACGGUACCUUAUGAAUAAGCACCGGCUAACUCCGUGCCAGCAGCCGCGGUAAUACGGAGGGUGCAAGCGUUAUCCGGAUUCACUGGGUUUAAAGGGUGCGUAGGCGGGCAGGUAAGUCAGUGGUGAAAUCCUAGAGCUUAACUCUAGAACUGCCAUUGAUACUAUCUGUCUUGAAUAUUGUGGAGGUACGCGGAAUAUGUCAUGUAGCGGUGAAAUGCUUAGAUAAGACAUAGAACACCUAUUGCGAAGGCAGCUUACUACGCAUAUAUUGACGCUGAGGCACGAAAGCGUGGGGAUCAAACAGGAUUAGAUACCCCAGUAGUCC